UAGGGGAAUCUUCCACAAUGGACGCAAGUCUGAUGGAGCAACGCCGCGUGAGUGAAGAAGGUCUUCGGAUCGUAAAACUACUGUUGUUAGAGAAGAACACGAGUGNGAGUAACUGUUCAUUCGAUGACGGUAUCUAACCAGCAAGUCACGGCUAACUACGUGCCAG
RNAcentral lists this ribosomal RNA (166 nucleotides) under uncultured bacterium. RNAcentral's name for it is "partial 16S rRNA". It matches the Rfam family "Bacterial small subunit ribosomal RNA", at positions 354 to 511 of the family's 1533-position model. The record is from RNAcentral.